Molecule: non-coding RNA, 369 nt
Organism: Lonchura striata (white-rumped munia)
Lineage: Eukaryota; Metazoa; Chordata; Aves; Passeriformes; Estrildidae
Source: RefSeq, a predicted model, not a curated record
GGGAACACCAGGACUGUCACCCAGGGGACCCUAGGCUGCAGCCAGGACACCAGCUGGGCCUGAGAGACACCAAGAAAAAGAGCUUUUUCCAGACACACUGAAAAAAUGGACAGAUUAAAAUGUCUGAUGAAGUCUCUGAAAUGACAACCAGAAGUCUUUGACUGUCUUAUUGCCAAGGACAACCAAAUUUCUUUGUUUGAAUCAAUUCUCACAAUUCAGUGAACAAUUGCAACAGGAGGAGGAAGUCUGGAUGUUGCUUGAGCCCUGCAUCCCAGAAGUCUGCACAUUCUCCAGUGUCAUUUCCCUUUCCACGAGUCACUACAAGUGUUGUUGAAUUCAUGAGAUCUGAAAAUAAAAUUUGCAAAGGGA